Molecule: long non-coding RNA, 1610 nt
Organism: Scylla paramamosain (green mud crab)
Lineage: Eukaryota; Metazoa; Arthropoda; Malacostraca; Decapoda; Portunidae
Exons: 3
Source: RefSeq, a predicted model, not a curated record
GUGUUUGUGACCGUGGCGCCGCGGGCCUGUCUGUGUCUGUGUGGCUCUACGCCUCUGUGAGAGUAACCCUCACUUAUUGAAAAAUACACCUGAACAAGUGCAUUCUAAGAUAUAGUUAAGCAUUAAGUGCAUAAAGUGGAUGAGGUUUAGAAGUGAGAUAGUGCGUGAGAGUCUGAGAAAUUAAUAAUAAAAGUCGUUCUCCCGUGCGGGUGGAAUACACUACCUAACUGUGGAUGGGAUAACAUACCUAAGGACAUGGAUUAUACUCUGUCUCCUCACUGAGCCAGGUGAGAGCCUCGUGCGUGCGUGCGUGCGUGGGUGACGUGCAGAAAUGCCAGCAGGUGUGUACUAGUGUUACCUGAGGCUGUGGUGGUGAUGGUGGUGGUAGUGGUGUCACUGUCCCACCUUAGCCGCCCCGUGACCUCAUUGAUUAAGACGUGACAACAGGUGAGGCCAGACCAGGUGAGAGCACGCACACACACACACACACACACACACACACACACACACACACACACACAGAAAUAGACACAUUAAUUAAGGUGGAAAACUUUGGGUGAUGACUGAAAUAGAGAGGGAUGAUGAUGAUGAUGAUGAUGAUGAUGAUGAUGAUGAUGAUGAUGCAGGAAAUUCAAAAUAAAAGAUGAAGGGAGUUUAAUGUAAAAGGUGAACUGAAGGAGAGAGAGAGAGAGAGAGAGAGAGAGAGAGAGAGAGAGAGAGAGAGAGAGAGAGAGAGAGAGAGAGAGAGAGAGAGUAGUUGGUGUUGGAAGAAUUAGUUCGUUUGUUGACAUGGAUCAGCUGUUUGCAAGAGGGGACACACACACACACACACACACACACACACACACACACACACACACACACACACACACACACACACACACACACACACACACACACACACACACACACUCACAGAAAGAGAGAGAGAGAGAGAGAGAGAGAGAGAGAGAGAGAGAGAGAGAGAGAGAGAGAGAGAGAGAGAGAUGUACAUGUAGAAAAUUAUUAUAUACCAGUAGAGUUACACACACACACACACACACACACACACACACACACACACACACACACACACACACACACACACACACACACACACACACACACACACACGUGCUCACCACCACACUCAAGGGAUCAACGCACUUGUCUCCAUGGCUGCAGCUCACGUCCCAUUGGUGGUGAGUGUGGUGGUGAUGGUGGUGCGGUGAGGGAUGCUAAGUAUUUCUCGGCUUUGCGCCAUCAUCAUUCACCAUCACCACCAACACCACCACCACCAUCAACAACAACAACAACAACAACAACAACAACAACAAAAACAGUAAUAUCAAAGAUAAUAACUACUACUACUACUACUACUACUACUACUACUACUACUACUACUACUACUACUACUACUACUAACAACAACAACAACAACAACAAUUGCAACAAGUCACCACCACCAACAUUACCUUUAAAAAAAACAUUUCUCAACACGAAUCAUCACAAUAAACAUCACUUAGAGAGAGAGAGAGAGAGAGAGAGAGAGAGAGAGAGAGAGAGAGAGAGAGAGAGAGAGAGAGAGAGAGAGAGAUCGGGCAUGGCAUUUUUGUGCUUUUAUAUUUAGA